CGAACCGUGCGAACGUUGUUCGGAAUCACUGGGCUUAAAGGGCGCGUAGGCGGGCCACCAAGUCAGUGGUGAAAUACUCCGGCCUAACCGGAGAAGGGCUGUUGAUACUGGUGGCCUCGAGUGGUGCAGGGGUCUGCGGAACUUCCGGUGGAGCGGUGAAAUGCGUAGAGAUCGGAAGGAACGCCGGUGGCGAAAGCGGCGGACUGGGCACCUCCUGACGCUGAGGCGCGAAAGCCAGGGGAGCAAACGGGAUUAGAUACCCCGGUAGUCCUGGCCCUAAACGAUGGGUACUAGGUUGAAGGCUUACAUGGGCUUUCAGCCGGAGCAAAAGUGUUAAGUACCCCGCCUGGGGAGUAUGGUCGCAAGGCUG
This 370-nucleotide ribosomal RNA is filed under the name uncultured organism. Its description in RNAcentral is "bacterial SSU rRNA". It matches the Rfam family "Bacterial small subunit ribosomal RNA", at positions 526 to 896 of the family's 1533-position model. The record is from RNAcentral.